AAGUUAAUGAAUGGCUGUGACCAUCUAAAAGAGAAGAUGUAUCAGUAUGAAAAUGAGAAAACAGAGAAGUAAGUAUCCAGAAGGCAGUUGUGAGACAACUUCAAUAAGAACUGGCAGAUACCCUAAAAAAGCAGUCCAUGUCAGAGGAAUCACUGAAGGUCAUGUCACGUUAUUGUGCUAACUUAGAAGAUGA
This 193-nucleotide long non-coding RNA is filed under the name Sus scrofa (pig). Its description in RNAcentral is "lncRNA (ENSSSCG00025052748.1, ENSSSCG00050011803.1)". Lineage: Eukaryota; Metazoa; Chordata; Mammalia; Artiodactyla; Suidae. The record is from RNAcentral.